Molecule: non-coding RNA, 865 nt
Organism: Sesamum indicum (sesame)
Lineage: Eukaryota; Viridiplantae; Streptophyta; Magnoliopsida; Lamiales; Pedaliaceae
Source: RefSeq, a predicted model, not a curated record
CCCUUCUUUCAUUUUUCUUCUCUUUCUCUCUCUCUUGAGACGCCAAACGUGGAAAGUGCGUGGCCCGUUGAUGCCGGCAUCUCUCCUUAUAUCCAGCCGAGACGCGGGCACGGAAUGAGAUAAAAGUGCAGAUACGAGUAAUACUUGGUAUAGUUGAAGAAGCAAAUCGGAAUUCUAUUUCUUUUUUGAGUUUGAUUCGGGUUUGAGGAAAACUCGGAUUGCUCGAAGGGCGUCGCCGUCGCCAGCCCGGAUCGUCUGGUGGGGAGCUCCUUUCGUUUCCGUUUUCUUCACCCGAAUUGUCUGUGGCCGGCAAAGCAAGCGUAAUAUAUGGCUCUUGAGAACGUUAUAACUUCACCUCAUAGGAGGACACAGACUCAGACUGCAUUUUCUCCACCGUUACUCAAGAGACAGUACUCACGAAACGGUGAAUUGGGAACCUGUUCAGCCCUUUUUCAGAGACAUCGAUUUCUUCUGACUGCUUUUGCUCUCCUUGCUUUCCUGUGCACUAUUUAUCUCUACUUUGCCGUGACUCUUGGGGCUGGUAAUGCAUGCUCUGGAUUGACAGGGUCCCAGAAGGCAUCAUGUCAUUUUGAGCUGGCAAAAGCAUCUGUAGCCAAAGGAAAGCUGAAAUUCUUCUAGCACAUCAAGCAUUCUCCAGUCUUUAGUAGUUGUUUUCUUUUGCCCUAUGUCUUGGGAGUUAGUGUCUGAGUUGUUUUAAGUACUUUUUAAGUGUAUAUGCCACAAAGGAAAGAGUAUAUGGCAACCAGUAUGCCUUACAUGUAAAGUAUGCCUUUCUGAAUUUUUGCAUCUCGUUUUGAAGGUGUAUUUUCUAGUCUUUAAGUAUUAGAAGACUUCUUAGAAACAU